RNAcentral lists this ribosomal RNA (425 nucleotides) under uncultured Clostridium sp. RNAcentral's name for it is "bacterial SSU rRNA". It matches the Rfam family "Bacterial small subunit ribosomal RNA", at positions 355 to 794 of the family's 1533-position model. Lineage: Bacteria; Bacillati; Bacillota; Clostridia; Eubacteriales; Clostridiaceae. The record is from RNAcentral.
UGGGGAAUAUUGCGCAAUGGGGGAAACCCUGACGCAGCAACGCCGCGUGAAGGAAGAAGGCCUUCGGUUGUAAACUUUGUCGCAAGGGAAGAAGACAGUGACGGUACCUUGUGAGAAAGCCACGGCUAACUACGUGCCAGCAGCCGCGGUAAUACGUAGGUGGCGAGCGUUGUCCGGAUUUACUGGGUGUAAAGGGCGCGUAGGCGGGCCUGCAAGUCAGAUGUGAAAUGCCCGGGGGCUUAACCCCGGAGCUGCAUUUGAAACUGUAGGUCUUGAGUGUCGGAGAGGAAAGCGGAAUUCCUAGUGUAGCGGUGAAAUGCGUAGAUAUUAGGAGGAACACCAGUGGCGAAGGCGGCUUUCUGGACGAUAACUGACGCUGAGGCGCGAAAGUGUGGGGAGCAAACAGGAUUAGAUACCCUGGUAGU